AAUAUACAACUCUAAAGACCACAAAAGCAGGGAUUUGUAUUCGCGCUUAAACAGUAGUUUUUAGAUUCGAGGAUUGUGCUGGUGAAUGUCGCCUUAGCAUGACCCGUUUAGAUCUCCCCCAUUUUCCCUCUUUUGUGCUAGGACGAUAUCGGCUGUCGGCGUUUGGUGGGCAUCACCGCACUGAUCUGGCGUUUGUGUGCAGUGAAAACUGACGUCUGGUUAGCGCAGCGCUGCACUAAAUUCUGGCCAGCGUUCACUCUGAAUGCGCCGGCGAACAUAUAUCCACUGGAUCGCGCUGGACAGGUUACGGCUUACGCCGAGCCCAGAAUACAAAUCUUCGAUUUAAGCGCAGCGCUACUCAAAACGCCGGUGUCAUUGCAUUUGUUCGGGACCUUCUUGCCUGCAGCAUUCGUGGCAGGAGGAUUGCAUGAAGAAGACGCAAAAACUCCCACAACAACACAAAAAGAGUUGUUGUGUCUGCAGGAUAAAUUCGUCCUGGCGGCGACAUGGACCGAUGAGGAAAAGAUGCAGGCUGUGCUGCAGUGUCUGGCUCUUUUAAGGGGCACAUUUGAAACGUACAAAAAGGAUUUCCGACUGCUAAAACAUCAUGUUAUUUAUAUGGAAGAGCGCACCAGUCUCCUCGAAGAAAGUUUUCUCAAGAAUAUGAAACAGGAAUCUUCGCGUUCCACAGACAUGGCAGAACAUGGACUGAAAAACUCGAACACAUGGAAUAUCGGGCGGAUUCUGGACAUGUCAGAUGCUUCUGUUGCUACUGUGAUCGCCAUUGUCAUGGUACUGUUGCUAUUACGUUACGUGUUCUGGCCCAACUACAACAACGGUCAUCAGUGAAUUUACAUCGGUUUCAUGAUGCUUUUCGGAGUGUGCAUCGUCGGAGCUCUGGUUUCGGCUUGGAUAGUCCCCGGGAUGUGCGUUCAACGAAUUGUUAAAGAGGAGUUUUGACGUUUGAGCCGCAAUUGCUUUCAUCGUUGUUUUGCUUGUAAUGUACAGAAAAGGGUAAGGUAAAAUGAAGAAAAUAUUAAGGUAAGAAAGAAAUAGCUAAAUGAUUUUUUUCAGGUGAGCCUUUAACGUUUUGAAACCUGAAAGUCAGGCGACCGGUGCCGCUGAAGUCACGUGAUUAAUAAAUUGAACAUCAACGCUCAUUCUUUUCAGUCUUAUGUAAUAUGGAUCAAUGAUCACAUAGCUUAUAUAUAAGUCUAUGCGCGUCUUAUUCGCGUCAAAUCACUGCGCUAAAACGAUAGGCGCGUUCCACAAAACAUUGGGUUGAUAUUAUGGGCACUUGUUUACUACUGGCAGCCCUUUUGCACCAUGUUGUAUCUACAGGCGCCAACUUUUGUUUUCCUUUUGUUUUUCACCACAACAUCGAUUUCUCGCAAACUCUUUCUUGCGACAUAACUUAUUUUAAUAAUAUUUUUUAUUAAUAUUUUUAAUACAUUAUGAUAUUUUAGGCAGAUUUUCUGAACAACUGUUUUUGUUAACUCUGACUUUCGAAACCUAGUGUAUUACGUUUUCCACCUUACUAUCAAUCGGUUUUCCUUGACGUCGCGCGGAUCCGUUCUCUUUGCCAUAUUUUUCGAAAGAUUACGGAUCCGUUCUCCUUGCCUCCUGUUUAUUUCGUGGUCUUUUUGUAUAUUUGUGCUGUUGAAUACUGUUCGGACUGAUUACUAGAGAGUCGCACACGCAAAAGAGUGAGCGUUAUCUAUCUUUGAACGCAGUACUUGGUGGAGAGUUACAGGUGAUACUUGGCAACAGACAUUAGUCACAUUACAUUACCUUAAUACAGUGCAAAUGAAUCUCAAAGCUUGUACAUAAUAUCGGAAUAUCCUAAAAAUUUUUCGAAAGAGAAAAAAUGGAGGUAUACCACAGUAACGAGAUAGUUUUUUCUCUUUCUAA
RNA transcript from Paramacrobiotus metropolitanus, 1911 nucleotides. RefSeq lists it as uncharacterized. Lineage: Eukaryota; Metazoa; Tardigrada; Eutardigrada; Parachela; Macrobiotidae. The record is from RefSeq and is a predicted model, not a curated record. The transcript is spliced from 3 exons.